RNAcentral lists this ribosomal RNA (253 nucleotides) under uncultured bacterium. RNAcentral's name for it is "partial 16S ribosomal RNA". It matches the Rfam family "Bacterial small subunit ribosomal RNA", at positions 524 to 776 of the family's 1533-position model. The record is from RNAcentral.
GACGAACCGUACAAACGUUAUUCGGAAUCACUGGGCUUAAAGGGUGCGUAGGCGGCCAUGUAAGUGAGGUGUGAAAUCCCUCGGCUCAACCGAGGAACUGCGCUUCAUACUGCAUGGCUUGAGGGAGACAGGGGUAAGCGGAACUGAUGGUGGAGCGGUGAAAUGCGUUGAUAUCAUCAGGAACACCGGUGGCGAAAGCGGCUUACUGGGCCUCUUCUGACGCUGAGGUACGAAAGCUAGGGGAGCGAACGGG